CAGUAGCCGCGGUAAUACGAAGGGUGCAAGCGUUACUCGGAAUUACUGGGCGUAAAGCGUGCGUAGGUGGUGGUUUAAGUCCGUUGUGAAAGCCCUGGGCUCAACCUGGGAAUUGCAGUGGAUACUGGGUCACUAGAGUGUGGUAGAGGAUAGUGGAAUUUCCGGUGUAGCAGUGAAAUGCGUAGAGAUCGGAAGGAACACCUGUGGCGAAGGCGACUAUCUGGGCCAACACUGACACUGAGGCACGAAAGCGUGGGGAGCAAACAGGAUUAGAUACCCCGGUAGUCCCUGUCUCUUAUAC
Molecule: ribosomal RNA, 301 nt
Filed under: uncultured bacterium
Lineage: Bacteria
Description: partial 16S ribosomal RNA
Rfam family: Bacterial small subunit ribosomal RNA
Source: RNAcentral